RNAcentral lists this ribosomal RNA (443 nucleotides) under uncultured bacterium. RNAcentral describes it as "partial 16S ribosomal RNA". It matches the Rfam family "Bacterial small subunit ribosomal RNA", at positions 338 to 795 of the family's 1533-position model. The record is from RNAcentral.
CCUACGGGGGGCAGCAGUGGGGAAUAUUGCACAAUGGGCGAAAGCCUGAUGCAGCAACGCCGCGUGAAGGAAGACGGUUUUCGGAUUGUAAAGUUCUGUGAUGGGGGAUGAACACAAUGACGGUACCCCAAUAGCAAGCCACGGCUAACUACGUGCCAGCAGCCGCGGUAAUACGUAGGUGGCAAGCGUUAUCCGGAAUGACUGGGCGUAAAGGGUGCGUAGGUGGUUUAGUAAGUUGGCGGUGUAAUUCCGGGGCUCAACCUCGGCGCUACCGCCAAAACUAUUAGACUAGAGUGCAGGGGGGGUAAGUGGAAUUCCUAGUGUAGCGGUGGAAUGCGUAGAUAUUAGGAGGAACAUCAGGGGCGAAGGCGACUUACUGGACUGUAACUGACACUGAGGCACGAAAGCGUGGGGAGCAAACAGGAUUAGAUACCCUUGUAGUC